This 204-nucleotide long non-coding RNA is filed under the name Trifolium pratense (red clover). RNAcentral describes it as "long non-coding RNA (TPRA_LNC009383)". The record is from RNAcentral. Lineage: Eukaryota; Viridiplantae; Streptophyta; Magnoliopsida; Fabales; Fabaceae.
UUAAGAUGGUUUAUGGUGGAAAUUUCGUGUGGGUGUGGUGAUUUAGGAAGAAUUUUUUUUGUUUUGGGGGUUAGGGUUUUGAAGGAAUUUGGUGGAUUUGUGGUUGGAUUGGUGGAAUUUGAAAGUGUUUAAGGUUGAUUGAGGGUUUAUAAGUGUUGGGUUAGAGAUUUUGUGAGUUGUUUUUGGGUGUUAAUGGAAGCUUGG